Molecule: ribosomal RNA, 552 nt
Filed under: Grammomys sp.
Lineage: Eukaryota; Metazoa; Chordata; Mammalia; Rodentia; Muridae
Description: partial small subunit ribosomal RNA
Rfam family: Bacterial large subunit ribosomal RNA
Source: RNAcentral
CACCUCUAGCAUUACAAGUAUUAGAGGCAUUGCCUGCCCAGUGACUAAAGUUAAACGGCCGCGGUAUCCUGACCGUGCAAAGGUAGCAUAAUCACUUGUUCCUUAAUUAGGGACUAGUAUGAAUGGCUAGACGAGGAUUCAACUGUCUCUUAUUUUUAAUCAGUGAAAUUGACCUUCCAGUGAAGAGGCUGGAAUAACAUAAUAAGACGAGAAGACCCUAUGGAGCUUUAAUUUAUUAGCAUAAUUACUAAAAUUAAAUAUCCUAAUGGUACAAAAAUAAAAAUAUAAGCUAAGAAUUUCGGUUGGGGUGACCUCGGAGAACAAAAAAUCCUCCGAAUGAUUAUAGCAUAGACUAACAAGUCAAAACAACCUAUUAAAUCUUAUUGACCCAAAGUAUUUUGAUCAACGGACCAAGUUACCCUAGGGAUAACAGCGCAAUCCUAUUUAAGAGUUCAUAUCGACAAUAAGGGUUUACGACCUCGAUGUUGGAUCAGGACACCCCAAUGGUGCAGAAGCUAUUAACGGUUCGUUUGUUCAACGAUUAAAGUCCUA